This is a long non-coding RNA of Callithrix jacchus (white-tufted-ear marmoset), 2505 nucleotides long. The record is from Ensembl. NCBI's taxonomy places the organism in Eukaryota, Metazoa, Chordata, Mammalia, Primates, Cebidae.
GAGAUGAUGAUUAAAAUUAGUUCGGUGCUGAUGUGAAAUCAGACCCCUUCAAAUCAGGGUGUCUAUGUACAAUGCACUGCGUAUGCCCUGCCAAGGAGGACUGAGAGAGAAUUGGAUACUCUCUCCUGGGUUGAUGCCUGAGGAAUUAUUCUGCUCUUUUUCAGGAAAUACAGAAGAUAUUUCACAGCGUGCCUUCUCCUGCUGUAUGCCCUCCAUUGCAGAGAAAUGAAUGCACCAGAAGUCUUGAUGCUGAAGGGACCUGUAGCUGCCACCUCCAACCCCCUUACACUAUGCCAUUUGGAGUGGAGCUGCAGGGGUGCAUUACAGAGUUUCCUGCCAUUUGAGUCGAUGGUUUACGAGCUGCACAUGUUGUCUGAUAUUUUCACCACAGGUAAUCUUUAAAGCAAUAGAAUGUGAUAAGUUCCAGAUAUCUUUCAUAGGAACACCUAACAUGACAAAAGCUCGACUGGUUUUCCCUCUGUCGAUACAGAGUAUUUGCGGCCAAGGUAUUCCAGUUUCGCUGGUCAGAAUCAGUGAUGAAGACUAAAGGGAGCAACGAUUUGUUGACUGGGAAGAGAAGGUAACACAACUAUACUUACUGAUCUCUUCAUAAGACAGUUUAAUCUUGCUUUACUUUCUGCAAAGUCCUCUAAGCUGUGUCAUCAAUGUUCUCUGUGGCAAAGAAUUUAAACUCUUUAUUCCUUUGGAUGGCGAAAGCAGGACUGUACCGGUUUUGAUCUUAGAUUAUCAACUUCUUAAGGGCAUGGACUUUGUCGGCUAAUUUGCUUGAAAUCAAGCAUUGCUCCAUUGCAGAGAGAACCUGGCAUUCCAUUCUUCUCUAUGGGUGACGUUUUCCUACCUUUAUUCAUCAUAUAUACAUGCCUUUUUAUGUCCAAGCUUCAGAAGAGGGCAGUACCUUCCACACUCUUGGUAACAGCACCAAAAGACGAUUGUUUCUCAUACUAUGAUACAGUAUGAUGCAGAAGAAUGCUUCUUCCGAAGCCUUCAUGUGACUACCAGUGACAAAAGAUGACUACCAGUGUCUCCAAAAAAGAUGUUGUUUCUCCAAAUGAAAUGGCUGCAUCCACAACUGAUUUAUCCACAUAAGAUAUACUUGCAUUUCUGCAGGAUUAUCUCAGAAUUCUCUGCUGAAUGCAUGGCGGUCUCAUCACCUGACGCUCAUUCCCUUAAAGUUGAAAUAAAUUGGAUUUUAUAAUCUGGACUCACUUACAUAUCAAUGCUCUCGUAUUCAAAGGUGCUGAUGGUAAUGACCAUAAAAAUUUGGGUUUUUAGGAGAAUGGUGGAGGUGACUGAAUGUUGCCACUGAAUUGUAAUUAAGUUGUUGGAAAGGGCCAUCCUAGUUUAUAGCUAUGCUUGUUGAUUUAACAAUCAGUGUGAAGGCUUUCCUUUAAAAGACCAACUUACCCUUUUAGAGCUGCUAACCAGAGCAAGCUGACUUCUGGCACAGCUGCCUAGCUUUGCACAGCCUGGCUACUCAAAGUGUGGGCCCUGGCUUGCCAUCCUCAGCGUCACCCAGGAAGUAGCAGAAAUGCAGAAAUCUCAGCCUCCAAGCUCACUCCAGGCCUAUUACAUCAGAACAAGGUCUCACGACAGCUGGGCAAGUUAACAUUUGAGAAGUGGGGCUCUAUACUGGGUCGUAUUUUCUGAGAUUGUGAUUUAAAGACCCUAUUUGGUUUUGCUUCUUAGGAUGUGAUGCCCUAUUUCAACAAGGCCUCACUGAGCUGGGUACUGGUACUCAUUUUACGCAUCUGACGAGUCCAGUGGAAACCCCUCAUGGAGAGCAUCUCUGUAGUGCCAGGUGACUUCCUGAGUCUCAGGUCUUGUUACUGAUGAUUUUUGUUCUGCAGCCCUUGUGUCUAAUGCCACUGUUUCUCACUUUAUUUGGUUAAUAAACAUAGAAUUAUGAUAAAGCGUGAUGCAGAAUAAUUUUUAUUCCUCGAGAGCCUUCACGUGACUACCAGUGAUGAACGAAACCAAAGGCUUAUGUGUCCUCAGCCUGCACAAGUGUUUUGGCACCGCGAUUUCCGGAUGCUGAAAGUUAAUGCAGAUGUUGUUUUAAGCUUUGGAGCAGGGCGCUCGAGAAUACGUAUUUAAACUUAAUGUAUACAGUACUAAAGAUGUUAGACAAAUAUGCAGAACAUCGUAAAUUAGACUAAGUUUAUAAUCAAUUAAAUACUUUGGAGCACCUCUGGACAAAGUCGAGAGAAGUAAAAUUGUACCUGUAACCUCACCUUUGUCAUACCGUCAUGAAAUGUUUACAUGUAUGGAACUUCAAGGCUUCCUGAGAUAUAAUAAAAGUACCACUGGUAUACAGGAAUGAUAAUUCCUCAUCCUCUAUUCAUAUUGCACACAAUUUUCAUUUGAACAAUGGGUUUGCAAGUUGUCAACCUCAGACUCUUCCAUGUUCCAUUUUCAGGAUUGUGUGUGCGUGGAGCAAAGUAUAACGGUGUUGAUCCCACCAGGAGUAAACUCCUCAUCACUACC